Molecule: long non-coding RNA, 2118 nt
Organism: Carassius gibelio (silver crucian carp)
Lineage: Eukaryota; Metazoa; Chordata; Actinopteri; Cypriniformes; Cyprinidae
Exons: 3
Source: RefSeq, a predicted model, not a curated record
CAUAAAAGAGUAGGCAAGAAUUGCAAUAAUUGUUACGAGAUUCAGUUUUACGUAUACUUAAUUUGCGUUCUAAUAUCCCUACUCACCUACUAUAUAGUAGGGAAAAAGAGGAUGUAAAGAAAUAAGUAUGUCCGAAACCUUAAACCAUUAAACAGUAGGCGAGAAAUCCCCGGAUGUCCUACUGCUUCAGCCAAGAUUCUGAAGGGUUCAUCGAUAGAUACUUUUCAAUCGCAGGAUGCCACACGAAAGGGAUAAAUCGUCAUCGAACGUGAAGGAGAGCAGCGACGUGGGUGUUUACAAAGGUGAGUAUUAUAAAACAAAACACGGUUCCCAUGUGAUAAAAUCGUAUUUGUUGAGCUACUGUAGAGUAAACUGUUGAUUUGUUAAGGUGUAAAGACGCUAGCCAGUAACAUAACAGUAUAUUUGUAAAAAACAACAACAAAACAGGUUUUAUUAUGUAAAGUGAAAAGCGGAUCUCCAGUAAACACAUGUACAUCUCCAAAGUGGAUUUGCAUGAACCAUAUACAUCUUAAAAACGAUUAAAUGUCUGUUUAAUACAAGACAGAGAAAUGUUAGAGAAUUGCAAAAGAGCAAAUCACAUGAAUGUUCAUCUGAGUGAGAGAUGUUUUUGUUAUGUAGAAUUCACUGUCUACAUUGCUUUAGAUGAAUGUAAGUAAUGUAAGUAAAUCUACAUUAAAUACACAUAAGUUAUCUAUUUAAUUUGACCAUUAGUAUUGUUGAUAAAUAGUGGAGCUCUUGUGUUGGAUAAAGUGAGUGAACACAUCAGCAUCUAUCUCAACAUGUAAAUGCAGUAUAUCACAGAUAAAUCACAGAGGAGACUGACUCUUGUCUGGAUGUUAAAGGGACAGAUGAGACACACGUGUGUUUAUCUGCUGCAGAGAAACUGAUGAUGAACGCUGCCAUUAAUGUCUAUCAGUGAGGAUACUACAGUCAUCAAUAAAACAUCUUUCAGAUAAGUUGUAGUUUAUUAAUAAACAGUUAUUACAGCACUUUUCUGAUUCUUGAUUGCUGUACAUUUGAUGCAGAUAUUUUGUGGUGGAGCAGGUGACAGCAGCAUCUGUGAAAAAAAAAACCUGAAACCAAAAUCUAAAGAUCUGAAAUGUGUGCAGACAGCUGUGUGCACUGAGGAUGGAGAAGAUGGAGUGCCAUGGUGGGUGAAAUGCUCCAUCACUGCAUCUCCUCUUGUUUUCUCAUCUGGACCAGAUGCUGCUGUGGUCUCUUCAUCUUCAGCGACCCCAGAGCCAAGUUUGUUCUGCUGGUUUCUGUUCAUACAACAUUAGUCAAUAAACCUAAGUUUCAGAAGUUUCUAAAGUAUCAUCAAAUAAUGUCAUGAAGAAUCUGAAAGUCAGGCUCCAUUGACUGAUACUGUAUGAACACAAACCAGCAGGAGAAACUUGACCGAAAUCACCUUUUGUGUUUGGACAAAGGAUUGAACAGAAUGAAGGCAAGUCAUUAAUGACUGAAUUUAUGUUUAGAUGACCUGACCCUUUAAAACCCCAAACAGAAACUGUAUUAAAUUUAUGCAUGCAUUAAUAUUAUAGUAGUACCUUGAAGAAAAAAGCUUAAGAAAUAAGGAGCUUUAUUGAGCAUUUGUGCCCAAGACACAAAAAAGCAUUCACAAAAUUCACAUUUACAUGUAUUAAUUUGCCAGACACUUUUAUCUGAAGUGACUUACAGUGCUCUUAUUAUAGGAUCUCAAUCCCUCUGCAGUCACCGGGAGUAAAGACACACCGGUGGAGAUUGAUCCAGCAACCUUCUGCUGACCAGUCCACUUCACUACACCACAGAAAUAAUGAAGCUAUAUCAAAUUAACAUGCAAUUGUAGUCAUGCUCAUGGUGAGCAGCACACAGCUGUUUGGAGCAGACACGGCAGCACAUGUUCUCCUGCUCUUGUUCAGGGUUGUGUGGUCCAGCGUCUUCAUCGUGGUCUUCUUCAUUCUCUCUGUGCACUCAGACAAGGACUCGAUGUCCCUCUCUCAUCAUGAUCAGAUUCAGUCUGACUGCAGCAGUGAGGGACCUGAUGGACGGAUGUGUGUUCACCGUCUGUAAACGGUCAAAAACAGAACAAUGUUUGAAUAAAGCUUUGUUUCAUCUGUU